GUGGGGAAUAUUGGACAAUGGGCGCAAGCCUGAUCCAGCCAUGCCGCGUGAGUGAUGAAGGCCUUAGGGUUGUAAAGCUCUUUCGUCAGGGAAGAUAAUGACGGUACCUGAAGAAGAAGCCCCGGCUAACUUCGUGCCAGCAGCCGCGGUAAUACGAAGGGGGCUAGCGUUGCUCGGAAUCACUGGGCGUAAAGCGCACGUAGGCGGCUUUCUAAGUCAGGGGUGAAAUCCUGGAGCUCAACUCCAGAACUGCCUUUGAUACUGGAGAGCUUGAGUUCGGGAGAGGUGAGUGGAACUGCGAGUGUAGAGGUGAAAUUCGUAGAUAUUCGCAAGAACACCAGUGGCGAAGGCGGCUCACUGGCCCGAUACUGACGCUGAGGUGCGAAAGCGUGGGGAGCAAACAGGAUUAGAUACCCCGGUAGUCC
This 425-nucleotide ribosomal RNA is filed under the name uncultured bacterium. RNAcentral describes it as "bacterial SSU rRNA". It matches the Rfam family "Bacterial small subunit ribosomal RNA", at positions 354 to 796 of the family's 1533-position model. The record is from RNAcentral.